AGCAAACAAACACACACCAUGGGAUGGGACUGUAAACCCGCAUUCAGUUCAAUUGUAGGUAUUCUAAGGCUGAAAUCCUAUGCCCACUUUAUUGGGAGUAAACCCCGUUAAACUUAAAGGGACUUAACCUUUGAGUAGGAUUACGCUGCGAGUGCUCAGGAACUGGGGUUGUUUUUCACCGAAGCAAAGAAUAGGAGAGUUGGAAGGGACCCCAAGGGUCAUCUAGUCCAACCCCCUGCAAUGCAGGAAUCGCAAGUGGAUCAUACAUGACAGAAGGCGCCAGCCAUCUGUUUUAGGGCACUGUGUGUUCUCAAUUUAUGUUUUGUCAUUUUAUGCUUCAUUAAGCCGCCCAGAGAACAGUGUUACUGUCCAGCCUUCUAUAAAAAUAAGAAACCACGCUUAAUUCGGAAGUAGCUCCCAAUGGUGUGAACAUAAGGCUCUUGUAAUGGGGUCGGAGAAUUGGAACCUUGGAGACCAGGGUUCAAAUCUGCACUUAGCCAUGAAUCUCAAUGUGUGACUUGGCAAUAGUUGUGCUAAUCUACCUUCUCAGCGUUGUUGUGAGGAGUAGAGGAUAAUAUUGUACGCCACCUUGAGCUUUUUGGAGGAAAUAGGGAUUUAACUGUACAGUAGUAGUAGUAGUAGUAGUAGUAAUCACUUCCUUGCUCAGAAGUCAGUCCCGCUGCUAUCAAUGGAAUUUCCUUCCUCUAGGAAAUGUGCGAAGAAAUGCCUCCCGAUUCCACGCGUGUUCGUGGAAAAUCAGUCACAGGGACUCACUCUUAGUGAAGAGUGCAGCUUAUUGAGACUUACUUCCUGGUAAGUAUGCUAUAGAUUUGCUCAGUCAAUCAGUCCCAGUCGAUUCGGUUUCUCACCCCCAUGGUCACCAUCCUCUCUGUCUAGCAGAUUCGGAAUGAAAUGUCUCGGCAACAGUUGUUUUGAAUUGUUCUCUUCUGACCUCGAGCACUCGGAAAAAAUCUGUCAAAUCUUUCUAUCAUUUCUAGUUUUAGUUAAGUAUUCUUAUUUAUCUACUUGAUUUGGGAAGGCAGCUGCGCCCAUGGCGGACUCUUCAAACUGCUAGCAGCCUGUCAAAUCGCUCCGCAGGAAACCAACGCUACCCACGGGACAGCUGUUCAUCUCCAAUCUUUUAUUCCGCAGCUUCGGGCCCAGUGGGCGUUUUCUUGGGCUGCAAAGGCUGCCACAGAGGAACUAUUUCCAGCUUCUUGAAAAUCUAUACAGGCUUCUAGGAAGUCCUUUUGGGUCCCCAGCUGUUGUUGGACGAUUCCCAUCAAGCCUGCCCGCUGGUAUUGCUAGCUAGGGAGUGUAGAGUUGCAGCCCAACACUAGCCAGGGACCCCAGGUUGAGAAACACUAGGGCGGCAGCGAGCGAGGGAGCGCGCGAUCCAAAUUCUAGAGAUCUUGCGCGCACUGGGCCAGAUGAUCCUGAAAGGAGCUGCUGGUUUCCCCGCUGCACCCAGGAAUGGAUCCUUUCCCCACCGCUGAUGCCCGGAGACGAACCGGUCUUUCCAUAACCCGGAGCGCAGGGCAUCUCAAAGGCGGAGUUAAAAGAACCAUUGAAUUCCAGAGUUGUCAGGAAACCCGAGGGUCAUCUAGCCCAAACCCCUGCAAUGCAAUAUUCCCCUCCCCAUAGAAUUUUUUUUAAAGGAGGGGGGAGUAGUAGCAAGUGGGAGGGGACAGAUCCUUCAAGGUUAUGAAAACCAAGCCUUACGAGGAGCGCUGAGAGGAGAGAUGAUAGCCUUUUGCAAGUAUCUUCAGGAGUGUAGGACUGGAACCCAUGGCUUCGGAUUUCAAGAAAGGAAAUUCCGACUGAACAUACGGGAGGGAAAACACUUUCUGGCAGUAAGCUGUUCAAACAGUGGAACAGUCUCCCUCGGGAGUUUGUAGACUCUCCUUAUUGGGAGAUUUUAAAGCAGAGGUUGGAUAAGCCAUCUGUCAUGGAUGCUCUAGCUGAGAUUUCUGCAUUGCAAGGGGUUGGACUACAUGACUCUCGGGUCCCUUCCAACUCUACGAUUCUAUGAAGAUGAAACCUGGAUUGGUCAGACCAAUGAGUCUAAUCGUGGGAAAGAGGAAUAUUCAUGUCUAAACGGAUAGAUCCGUACAUAUCUUUUUGUUGUUGUUGGGGUGGGUGGAGGGGGAACCAUAGCCGCGGAGGACGCAGAGCACAUCCUUUGUGUGCAGAAGGUCCCCGGUUAAAUCCCCAGUAUCGCGGGGUAGGACUGGGAAAUGUCCCCCGUCGGGACCCCAGUUGAGAUGCUGCCCGUCAGUGUCAACGGGACUGGGCUCAAUAUAAGACAGCUUCCUGUGUCCUUAAAACGGUUGUGGAGCAACAGGGAACUAGCCUCUGCUCCAACUUUUUUGCACGACAGCCCUUCAUAUAUUUGGAGGCAGUUCUCCUUUAACGUUACUUGACUAUAUUGUUUCCCGGAUCCUCACCAAUCUGGGCGGUCGCCUCUUCUCUGUGUGGCUGAUCUCUGCCAUCCUUUCAGAUUCCAUUUUUUGACACUACUCCGUAUGUUCCGUUGUGCGUGUCCUUCCGUUAUCCUUGGCACCCAAACAAGAAGCCUGACCUUGUGCCUGUUUACUUGGAAGUAAGCCUCACUGGGCUCCUUUCCAAAUGAGUGAACAUAGCACUGCAGCCAAAUACAACCUUUAUUAGUUGGCUAGUCAUAGACAGUUAGUGGCUGGUGCAUUUGUUAAAGGGAAGUCCCUGGUUCAAGUGUUACUUCUGCCAUGAGCUCACCGGGUGCGUCCUAAACAAGGCCGCCGCCCCAGCCUUCAAACACUCUCACCCUCUAUACGAGGAAGAACGCUGACCUACCUGUCAGGGUUGUUGGAAGGAUUACAACCAGGUAACGCACGUAAAAUGCUUUGAAUAAUGCCCAUAAUGGAUUACUGUUAUUAUUGUUUGCUAAUUAUUACUACUACUACUUGCAUUUAUAUCCCACCGUUCCUCCAAGGAGCUCAAGGCGGCAUAGUUCUCCACCCCAAUUUAUUUUCACAACAACCCUGAGAGGUCGGUUAGGCUGAGAGUGACUGGUCCAAGAUGACCCAGUGACCUUCAUGCCCUUUUGUUUCCCAGGUCCUAUUAAUAAUAUUUUUUAAUUCAUCAGAAGAAGAUCCCAGGCCGGUUCACAAAAGGGAAACACAAAUUGAGAACCCGGAAUACACAAUAAAGCAAAGCAAACCAAUAACCCCUCUAGUCCUAGCCCAACACUCUUACCACUACACCACACUCUCAGCUUUGUAAAAUACAUAAAACCAACACAGCACUUUAUUUCUUUAUUUUGCAGCUCCAUACAAAGAAAGAAUAAAAAGGCUCCGCUGUGGAGGUGAGCCGGCCAGCCUUUUCCGGGACUUCCAAACUCACGAUCGCGUGCGCCUUCGUCUCAGGCAGGUGUCCCCUGGCGCCUCUCCAGGGCGCAAUCUCCGUCCCUGGGUUAAAGCCCCUCGGCCUGCUCCCCUGACCCGCCCUCGCCUCCUCCCCCCGCCCGGUUGCCACGUCCCUUGCGGGGAAAGAAGCCAAUGGGCGGCCUCCCUCAGGUGUGUCUCUCUCACCUGCACCACGUGGGGCGGAGGAAGGGGCAGGUACAGCCACAUCCCCAAACAGCCCCGGCCCGCAGCCAUUUGCGCGCCUCGCAGGGGUGUAGCCCGCCCUGCGCUGCGGAAUUGGCUCCUGUUGCAAUUAAGCUACAAAAAGAGGCCGCGUGGGGCAGGCGCCUCCCCCCACGCCCCCGCUCUCCUAAAUGCAGGUGCGGGGCAG
Molecule: non-coding RNA, 3774 nt
Organism: Podarcis lilfordi (Lilford's wall lizard)
Lineage: Eukaryota; Metazoa; Chordata; Lepidosauria; Squamata; Lacertidae
Source: the annotation of a GenBank genome assembly